Molecule: long non-coding RNA, 1229 nt
Organism: Lolium rigidum
Lineage: Eukaryota; Viridiplantae; Streptophyta; Magnoliopsida; Poales; Poaceae
Exons: 3
Source: RefSeq, a predicted model, not a curated record
UUCUUUUAUUAACCUAGACAGACUCAGGCGUGUAUUGCUGGGAGUAGAUUUGUGUAUUAUGUUUCUAUUCUUCAGUCUAGGUUAUGUGAAGAUCAAUUUAACUUCUAUGCUCUGGUAGAGAACAUGUGAAUAUUGGUUGAAACCAGUUGGUCGAAUACAAUUUAUUUCUUACAAUGCUUGGAUCUACCUAGUUUAAGGAAACAACAUACUACUCUGUUUUCUAAAUAUGAGAUUAUCUGUUACAAUGUACAUAUAUUGAGCUCCACAUUGCUGAAUCUUAAUAUUCUCAAUUUUAAGUAAAUCUUGUUGUGUUUGAUAUAAGAUCACCGUUACAUUUCCUAGGGAAUGUCAUCAUUUCUCUUUAUUUGGAAAUGAAAACAUGUUUUUAUAUUGAUUAUCUGUGGAAUGCUUUUAUUACUCUAUAAUGUUAUCAAAUUCUUUGAUGUGCUUGUGGAAAUAAUAUGCAGAUUGGCCAGACAUUAUCUUGAGCACCCUUGGGAGAGUGAUUGAGCGGGAGGGGCUGCACAGGUUGCUGGACAGAAGAUGAACAAAAAAGCUCCUGCCUUGGCUUUCUGGUUUGUCGGCUACCUCUCUGUGGCUACGUGCCUACGUCUUGGACUCCAUCGACACCAUGCCCAUAGCGCUGCAGCCUACAUCAUGUUGUACUUGCCACCUGAUCCCCCUCUCUCGUGCUCUUGAGUUGCGUAUUCAUCAAGUGUAUGAUUUAUUUUGAUCCGUGCUAGCCAUUGCAAAUGUAGUGCAUGCAGAAAGGAUUGCACCUUUAGUACCUGGGAAAACAGUCUUUUGUCAGUCAUCUCAUGAUAGCCUGAUACUUCUCUACAAGCAGAAAUUUAUCCUCUAAUUAUUUACAGUGGAAAUUAUUUUUAUUUUGGAUUGUGAACUGCAGAAUAAUGAGAUUCUUUUCAUCUCUAGCUGUGUCCAUUAUCCUGUAGUGAAGAGGCGUUAUCUUACUAUUGCAUGACUAUGAUGUCAAUAAUGAGUAACCAAGCCUAUUCUUUGUUUUGCUUUGAUGUUGCACGGCUAAAAUGGGAAAGAUGGCUGGAUGAGUAAUAUGUUGCUUGUUUCUUUCUUUCUCCUGAUAGGUCUUGACAAAUUCUGGAAAAGAAACAACCUUAACAUGCUACUUCGUACCAUUCCAGGGGAAUUGAUGCAACCGAUACAUGACCGUCUCUCUUGGAUCUGUGUUUGGCUGCUGCUGCAAUGUUGCA